This 315-nucleotide ribosomal RNA is filed under the name uncultured eukaryote. Its description in RNAcentral is "partial 18S ribosomal RNA". It matches the Rfam family "Eukaryotic small subunit ribosomal RNA", at positions 1470 to 1796 of the family's 1831-position model. The record is from RNAcentral.
CCCUUAGACGUUCUGGGCCGCACGCGCGCUACACUGACCAGUGCAACAAGCAUCCGUCCUUGGCCGACAGGCCCGGGCAAUCUUUGAACGCUGGUCGUGAUGGGGAUAGACUUUUGCAAUUUUUGGUCUUCAACGAGGAAUUCCUAGUAAACGCAAGUCAUCAACUUGCAUUGAUUACGUCCCUGCCCUUUGUCCACACCGCCCGUCGCACCUACCGAUUGAAUGGUCCGGUGAAGCCUCCGGAUUGGCGCGCACCUCGGUGCCGCCGAGAAGUUGGCUAAACCUUACCAUUUAGAGGAAGGUGAAGUCGUAACA